Molecule: ribosomal RNA, 449 nt
Filed under: uncultured bacterium
Lineage: Bacteria
Description: partial 16S ribosomal RNA
Rfam family: Bacterial small subunit ribosomal RNA
Source: RNAcentral
AACGAACGCUGGCGGCAUGCCUAACACAUGCAAGUCGAACGAGACCUUCGGGUCUAGUGGCGCACGGGUGCGUAACGCGUGGGAACCUGCCCUUAGGUUCGGAAUAACUCAGAGAAAUUUGAGCUAAUACCGGAUAAUGUCUUCGGACCAAAGAUUUAUCGCCUUUGGAUGGGCCCGCGUUGGAUUAGCUAGUUGGUGGGGUAAAGGCCUACCAAGGCGACGAUCCAUAGCUGGUCUGAGAGGAUGAUCAGCCACACUGGGACUGAGACACGGCCCAGACUCCUACGGGAGGCAGCAGUGGGGAAUAUUGGACAAUGGGCGAAAGCCUGAUCCAGCAAUGCCGCGUGAGUGAUGAAGGCCUUAGGGUUGUAAAGCUCUUUUACCAGGGAUGAUAAUGACAGUACCUGGAGAAUAAGCUCCGGCUAACUCCGUGCCAGCCGCCGCUGUAA